Molecule: ribosomal RNA, 1528 nt
Filed under: Clostridioides difficile
Lineage: Bacteria; Bacillati; Bacillota; Clostridia; Peptostreptococcales; Peptostreptococcaceae
Description: bacterial LSU rRNA
Rfam family: Bacterial large subunit ribosomal RNA
Source: RNAcentral
CGAGAUCUACACGUAAGGAGUCGUCGGCAGCGUCAGAUGUGUAUAAGAGACAGUCCCAUACGGGUUGAAGCAUGACCGUAAGGACAUGUGGACAGUAUGGGAGUGAGAAUGUUGGCAUGAGUAGCGAGAUGUGGGUGAGAAUCCCACAGGCCGUAAACCCAAGGUUUCCAGGGGAAGGUUCGUCCGCCCUGGGUUAGUCGGGACCUAAGCUGAGGCCGAAAGGCGUAGGUGAUGGACAACAGGUUGAUAUUCCUGUACUACCGAUAACCGUUUGAGAGAAGGGAUGACACAGUAGGAUAAGCUAAGCACACUGUUGGUUAUGUGUGCCCAAGCAUUGAGGCAGUCAAAGUAGGCAAAUCCGCUUUGAUAAUGCUGGGAUGUGAUGGGGAGCGAAAUUUAGUAGCGAAGUAGCUGAUUUCACACUGUCAAGAAAAGUCUCUAUCGAGGUUAAAGGUACCCGUACCGCAAACCGACACAGGUGGGUGAGGAGAGUAUCCUAAGGCCAGCGAGAGAACUGUUGUUAAGGAACUCGGCAAAAUGACCCCGUAACUUAGGGAUAAGGGGUGCCACCAUCAGGUGGCCGCAGAGAAUAGGCCCAAGCGACUGUUUACCAAAAACAUAGGUUUCUGCUAAGUCGCAAGACGAUGUAUAGGAGCUGACGCCUGCCCGGUGCUGGAAGGUUAAGGGGAUCUGUUAGAGCAAUCGAAGCAGUGAACUUAAGCCCCAGUAAACGGCGGCCGUAACUAUAACGGUCCUAAGGUAGCGAAAUUCCUUGUCGGGUAAGUUCCGACCCGCACGAAAGGCGUAACGAUUUGGGCACUGUCUCAACAACAGACUCGGUGAAAUUGUAAUUCCGGUGAAGAUGCCGGAUACCUGCGACAGGACGGAAAGACCCCAUGGAGCUUUACUGUAGCUUGACAUUGGGUCUUGGUACUACAUGUACAGGAUAGGUGGGAGGCUUUGAAACCAGGACGCCAGUUUUGGCGGAGCCAUCCUUGGGAUACCACCCUUGUAGUACUGGGACUCUAACCAUAGGCCAUGAAUCUGGUCUUGGGACACUGUCAGGUGGGCAGUUUGACUGGGGCGGUCGCCUCCCAAAAGGUAACGGAGGCGCUCAAAGGUUCUCUCAGUACGGUCGGAAAUCGUACGUAGAGUGUAAAGGCAAAAGAGAGCUUGAUUGCAAGACAUACAGGUCGAGCAAGGAUGAAAAUCGGACUUAGUGAUCCGGUGGUUCUGCGUGGAAGGGCCAUCGCUCAACGGAUAAAAGCUACCCUGGGGAUAACAGGCUUAUCUCCCCCAAGAGUCCACAUCGACGGGGAGGUUUGGCACCUCGAUGUCGGCUCAUCACAUCCUGGGGCUGUAGUAGGUCCCAAGGGUUGGGCUGUUCGCCCAUUAAAGUGGUACGCGAGCUGGGUUCAGAACGUCGUGAGACAGUUCGGUCCCUAUCCGUCGCAGGCGUAGGAAAUUUGAGAAGACCUGUCCUUAGUACGAGAGGACCGGGAUGGACGUACCUCUGGUGUACCAGUUG